Oryctolagus cuniculus (rabbit) is the source of this 2066-nucleotide non-coding RNA. NCBI's taxonomy places the organism in Eukaryota, Metazoa, Chordata, Mammalia, Lagomorpha, Leporidae. The record is from RefSeq and is a predicted model, not a curated record.
AGUCGAGUCAGAUCCUAAUUGCCAUGUGUUUCCGCUGCCCCAGCGUCCUGUGGCCGUCUCUGAUUCCUCUGCUGUGGCAGUUUGAGAAGCAUUGUUCACACUUAGCUGUUUGUGGUCUGCCAACCAUUGCCCAAACAGAAGAGGAGCAGCACCUGUCAUCUCCCCAGACCCAGUGACUCCAGUAUUUCAAAGAGUUUAUUUUUUAAGGGGAGGUCAUUUUGGUCCCCUUAACACUCAGCAAGAGCCCUUGAUUUGAAGCUGUAGACACUACCUUCAGCGAGAAAGCCCCAUGGCAUCGUCAUGCUGGGAACCAGGAGAGCAAGGGGGCCUGGUUGCCCCAUCCCAGCGUGGCAGGGGAGAGGCUGGGAGCUGUCAGCUCCUGGCACGGCAGCCACGGCCUCGUCGCUAGCAGUGAUUGCCAUGUACUGAUGCUUGGCCCAUCUGAAGUCCUCCAAGAACUCCUUCACUAUUGUCGUCCUUAUUUCACCGAGAAGAUUCGCACCUUGCCCACAGUAGGACGUGAUACCAUGAGAAAACCUGAUUUUCUAGAGGAAAUGCAGAAGGAGGACUGCUGCCUUGAGAUUACCUGCUGGAGACAGAGAAACUGGCUAUUCUGUUACUUCCGGGAGAUCUGAAUUCCAGCGGACUUCCAUAGCAGGUCAAUAACAUCUUGUUUUGUCUUGGCAACAGUUCACGACUCCUCCCUCAAGCUUUGCUAGAGUGUAAGCAAUGACUUGUUUCUGCUAAGGGUUCCUCCACAACUUGGAAGGGAGCUGGCACCUCUUUCCCAGCCACCUUAACCUUUCCUUGGGUAAAACACUCACAUAGGAAUUAAACAUUCAUCACUGGCCACACACACACCAAUCAUGCUGUUUUGCUUUUUUAAAAUUCACUCUUCCCUGGGCUUUUACUUUUUUCUUUUGUUUUGUUUUGUUUUCAGUUGGGAACUGCCCAACCCCACUUUGCUAAGCUGAAACUAACCUUUCCACUCGGCAAAAAGGGCAUCUUUGCCUAAGCAGAUGGUGAUGUGCACUGGUGUGUGCAAUUUAUUUCCAUGUCACUGAGCAUUACAGACUUUGCAGAAGCAGUUUCAAAUAUAUUUUAAAAUAAAAUAUGAUGCAUUGGGUUAUGGUCUGUGUGGAUUAUUUUAAAGGCAGGUGUGCCCCUCUCUUCUUGCUUUAAGAGCUAACGGUAGGUAAGCAACCCAAGUCGUACUUGCAAAGUCAUGAUUCACCAUUUGGGAAGGGAUAGGGGCUAAAAUUUAGCUUCACCAGCAUAACAGCUUCAAUCAACUUCCAGCCAUGUCGCUGACAUCAAUCAGUGAAAUAGAAAGGCAUGGUGACAGAACCUUCUCCUAAGAAAACGUUCGUUACCCAUCACAUCAUAUGAUAUAUUAGAAAAGAAAUUGUCAAAAGCUUCACCAGAUGAAAUCAACAUCUGAGAUUUCUGGGCCUGUCUCUGCCAUUACUCAGACACUUAAUUUCUCUGGACUUUAGUUCUAGCACAUAAAAUACAGGGUUCCAUUUAUAUUAGCACUUCGGAGAAUAAACUUCUCAAAAACUCUUUCUUCAAGAUCCACAGUGAAGAAUUCCAUGAUCAAAUAAGUUCAGAAAGCAUAAACACUGUCACAUUAAGGAGUUCAUGGAUAAUUUUACAAAAGUCCAGCAGCAGAGAAAACAUACAAUGCUGUUUAAUUCUGUGUUUCUAAAUUUUCUUUGACCAUGAAAUAUUUUACCUAUUAAAUGCUGAGAUAUAGCUUGAUGAUAACUUUUACAAUUUUUUUUUUUUUGACAGGCAGAGUGGACAGUGAGAGAGAGAGACAGAGAGAAAGGUCUUCCUUUGCCGUUGGUUCACCCUCCAAUGGCCGCCGCGGCCGGCGCGUUGCGGCCAGCGCACCGCGCUGAUCCGACGGCAGGAGCCAGGAGCCAGGUGCUUUUCCUGGUCUCCCAUGGGGUGCAGGGCCCAAGCACCUGGGCCAUCCUCCACUGCACUCCCUGGCCACAGCAGAGGGCUGGCCUGGAAGAGGGGCAACCGGGACAGAAUCCGGCGCCCCGACCGGGACUAGA